GGCCCCAUCGUCUAGCGGUUAGGACACGGCCCUUUCAAGGCUGUAACCGGGGUUCGAGUCCCCGUGGGGUCA
This 72-nucleotide transfer RNA is filed under the name bacterium. RNAcentral's name for it is "tRNA-Glu". It matches the Rfam family "tRNA". Rfam says of the family: Transfer RNA (tRNA) molecules are approximately 80 nucleotides in length. Their secondary structure includes four short double-helical elements and three loops (D, anti-codon, and T loops). Further hydrogen bonds mediate the characteristic L-shaped molecular structure. tRNAs have two regions of fundamental functional importance: the anti-codon, which is responsible for specific mRNA codon recognition, and the 3' end, to which the tRNAs corresponding amino acid is attached (by aminoacyl-tRNA synthetases). tRNAs cope with the degeneracy of the genetic code in two manners: having more than one tRNA (with a specific anti-codon) for a particular amino acid; and 'wobble' base-pairing, i.e. permitting non-standard base-pairing at the 3rd anti-codon position. The record is from RNAcentral. RNAcentral also lists the same sequence under 3 other names.